AAUUAAAGGUUUAUUUUAUGGUGAUAAAAAAAAUAUUUUUUAUUUUAGUAUUGUUAAAGAAUUAAGUUAUUUAAUUAUAGAGUAUUAGUAUAGUGAUAGAAUAUUGAAAUAUAGGAAGUUUAAUUGUUUAAAAGAAGUAUUAAUUUUGUGUACCUUGUGUUUCAGGGUUUAUUAAAAGUUUAUUAAGAAUUUAAUAGUCUCGAAUUAUAAAGAGCUAAUAUUAUAUAUAUAUAAUUGUAACAUAAAUUUUUAUCAUAUAAUAUUAGAAAUGAAACGUUAGUCGUUUUUUAAGAUAUCUAGUUUUUUAAGAAAUGAAUUCAAUUCAGUUAUUUAAAAAGUAUACAUUAAUUGUUUAAUGUAUAUAUUUAAGUAAGUAAUAUUUUAAGGGAUAAGCUUUAAAGUAAAUUUUUAUAAUAUAAGUUUUAAGGAUGAAAAUUAGUAGGAUUGAAAGUUUUUAACUUUAGUGUGUUAUAAUUAGUUUUUAUUGUAAUAAGAUUUAUAUAGUAUUUAAUUUAUCUAUUAAAAUUAGUUAGUGAAUUUGGUUAUAUGUGUAAUAAUGAUAGAAUUAGUAUAAUUUAUUGUAUCUAUAAAUUGAGGUAUAGAGGUUAAAUUAAGGAACUCGGCAAAUUUAUUUCUCGCCUGUUUAUUAAAAACAUGUCUUUUUGAUAAUAAUUUAAAGUCUGGCCUGCCCAAUGAGGAGUUGAAUGGCCGCGGUAAUUUGACCGUGCAAAGGUAGCAUAAUCAUUAGUUUUUUAAUUGAAAGCUGGUAUGAAUGGUCGGACGAGGGAAUAACUGUCUCAAUUUAAUUUAAUUAGAAUUUUAUUUUUAAGUAAAAAAGCUUAGAUGUAUUUAAAAGACGAGAAGACCCUAUAGAGUUUAAUAUAUUGUUGUUUAUUUUUAUUAUAGUAUAUACAUUAAAUGUAUGCAUUAAUGUAUUUUGUUGGGGUGACAGGAAAAUUGAAUAAACUUUUUUUUUAUUAUAUCAUUGAUAUAUGAAUUAUUGAUCCGUAUUUUACGAUUAUAAGAUUAAAUUACCUUAGGGAUAACAGCGUAAUUUUUUUUGAGAGUUCUAAUCGAAAAAAGAGUUUGCGACCUCGAUGUUGGAUUAAAAUUAAUUUCUGGUGUAGAAGCUAGAAGAUUAGGUCUGUUCGACCUUUAAAAUUUUACAUGAUCUGAGUUUAAACCGGCGUGAGCCAGGUUGGUUUCUAUCUUUAAAUAAAUUGAAUACUUUAGUACGAAAGGACCAAGUAUUCGUAAUAGUUAUUAUAUUUUGAUUAUUAUUAAAA
RNAcentral lists this ribosomal RNA (1286 nucleotides) under Miridiba trichophora. RNAcentral's name for it is "16S ribosomal RNA". The stretch from base 1042 to 1200 matches the Rfam family "Bacterial large subunit ribosomal RNA", at positions 2473 to 2632 of the family's 2925-position model. The record is from RNAcentral. Lineage: Eukaryota; Metazoa; Arthropoda; Insecta; Coleoptera; Scarabaeidae.